Molecule: ribosomal RNA, 1154 nt
Filed under: Chalinidae sp. 1 JV-2020
Lineage: Eukaryota; Metazoa; Porifera; Demospongiae; Haplosclerida; Chalinidae
Description: partial large subunit ribosomal RNA
Rfam family: Eukaryotic large subunit ribosomal RNA
Source: RNAcentral
CCUUAGUAACGGCGAGCGAAGUGGGAACAAGCCCAGGUCUGAAAUCUCCCAGCUGGCAAUUGACACGGUUGGGCGAAUUGUGGUCUGGAGAGGCAGACUGUCCCGAUCCACUGCUGCUGAGCCCGAAGUUGACUUGGAACGGCACGCCAAAGAGGGUGAGAGCCCCGUAGGGCCCGGAAAUCGGUAGCAGCGGGACGAGGGUCUGUACUCGUAGAGUCGGGUUGUUUGGGAAUGCAGCCCUAAGUGGGUGGUAGACUCCAUCCAAGGCUAAAUACGGGCGCGAGACCGAUAGCUGACAAGUACCGUGAGGGAAAGGUGAAAAGCACUUUGAAGAGAGAGUUCAAUAGACCGUGAAACCGUUGGGAGGGAAGCUCAGGGUGUCGAGGUUGUCGUGCACUGUUCGAGUUCAGCUGGUGGUAACAGUUUUCUGUUGCUGCUGGUGCAUUCUCUUAUGGUGUUUGACCGUCAGUUGGGAAGAGACGGAGGUCUGUACCGUCAGCAGCCGGGAGGUACGCCCUGAGUUUCCGUCAGGUGCUCGGGGUGACGUACAGCCGUCCUGUUGUGGUCUCUGUCGUCUUUCAGGUGCGUUGGAUGUCUGUUCGUCCAGAAAUGGAAGGUGCAGUCUCCCGUAGUGGGGGAUCGGGCCAUUCACAAGGUUGCUCUGCGUUGUUUAGCCGUGUUCCGUUCUCUCUCCGUUCUGUCUCUGGCAGUCGGGGCAGAGUGCGGCACGUCUUGCAAUCGCCAGUGUCCCUUGAGUUUGUGUCCUGGAAUCUGUGCCGAGGUGACUGGCGAAGAGUCGUUACCCUGUGCCCCGUCUUGAAACACGGACCAAGGAGUGCAAGAGAUGCGCAAGUCGGAAGGGUUGUGUUGGGGCUCUUCCUUCGGGAAUUGUCCUGCCUGAGAGACCCAUGUGUUUGGAACGGGCGAAGUGAGAGCAAUUCAUGGGUGCGAGAGCCAUGGGGAGACCCGUGGCGCAUCGCUGGCCGAGCCAAGGUCACGCUGUGACCGGUUUCGAGUACGAGCGUAUCUGUUGCGACCCGAAAGAUGGUGAACUAUGCCUGAGGAGGGUGAAGCCAGAGGAAACUCUGGUGGAGGCCCGUAGCGGUUCUGACGUGCAAAUCGAUCGUCGCACUUGGGUAUAGGGCGAAAGACUA